Molecule: long non-coding RNA, 1283 nt
Organism: Mus musculus (house mouse)
Lineage: Eukaryota; Metazoa; Chordata; Mammalia; Rodentia; Muridae
Product: predicted gene, 35739
Exons: 3
Source: RefSeq, a predicted model, not a curated record
UAGGACUGGGGAGAUGGUUCAGUGGCUAGGGAGACAGACUAUCUACCUUUCCAGAGGACCCAGUUUCUGUUCCCAACAGCCACGCUUGCAACUCUCUGUAAUACCAGUUCCAGGGACCAGAUGUCCUUUUCCAGUUUCUAUGGGCACCAGGUACACACAUGGCACACACACACAUACAGGCCAGAUACUCCUGCACGUCAAAUAAAAUAAUUAAAGCGGUGCUUACUAUGUGUCCUUGACUCUGCCCAGCCUUUCGUUUCUUCCUUUUAUAGCCAAGAUAAAAAGCCUUAGAUUGCUAUGCUAAUUUAUCCGUUAUAUGACUGGAAAUGUUUUCCACUGGUAUAAUCAUCUAGUUUCUGUUUUCAUUCCCUCUACAGGACUGAAAGAUCUCAUUUGAUCAGGAUUCAGUACUACGUGUAUAUUCUAACCUGCUUUACCUGAUCUACAGAAUUAGAUUCAAAGUACGUCAGAUAGCACCAUCCUUUUUUGGUGAACAGCUUUGGGACUGGAUCUCCGGGUUGUAUGUGCUCCAGUCUUUAAAUAGAAUACCAGAGAGCAGAGGUCACCUUGCCCAUCACCACAGAUGCCAAUGAGCACAAACAGGAAGUGAUUCUUCAGUGUGCGCUUUAUCACCAUGAAGGCAGCAGAUUAAUAUCCUAGAGAUACAGCGUAUACCUCAUUUGGUCAGCAGAUUAUCUGAGGAACUGAAACAAAGGCAGUUAGCCAUUCUGAGCUGGGCUUGCAUAUCCCCAAGGCUGCUGAACCCUGCAUUUCUCUUCAGCAUUAUCUGGGCAAAGGGUUAACGAAGAAGAAAGCAGCAGCAACAUGUAGGUAUGUAUGUGCAGAUUCCCUUUUACAACAUGAAAUAUAGACAAAAUAGAAUAUGAAACUGUGGGUGUUACUACAACCUUGCCAUCUCCCCCACUCUCAGAGGGUUUUCCCUUCAUGUUUCUUAAUCAAUCUAAUGUCAUUCUACUAAAAAACAAAACAAAAACAAAAAAAAAACUAAUUUCCCUCCCCAUCCCUCGUCUCCCUUUCUUUUCCCACUAUUAGUAAAUAACUCCUAUCUGUAAGAUCCAUAGCAUAUAAACAAUGACAUCCUGCUGCUAUGUGUUUGGUUGAUUGAUAGUAUGGCUUCUUACCAGUAAGGGAGUUUUUUUGGCACAAAGCUGUAUACAUUGGAGCACACCAAUAUGUAACAGCCAAAAGUUAAGCUGAGAGGGUUUUGUUUGUUUGUUUUGAAAGACCCCCGACGUGGGUAGUCAAUCAAUCUGAGGAGACCC